This 484-nucleotide ribosomal RNA is filed under the name uncultured bacterium. RNAcentral describes it as "partial 16S ribosomal RNA". It matches the Rfam family "Bacterial small subunit ribosomal RNA", at positions 30 to 507 of the family's 1533-position model. The record is from RNAcentral.
AUUGAACGCUGGCGGCAGGCCUAACACAUGCAAGUCGAGCGGAUGAAGGGAGCUUGCUCCUGGAUUCAGCGGCAGACGGGUGAGUAAUGCCUAGGAAUCUGCCUGGUAGUGGGGGAUAACGUCCGGAAACGGGCGCUAAUACCGCAUACGUCCUGAGGGAGAAAGUGGGGGAUCUUCGGACCUCACGCUAUCAGAUGAGCCUAGGUCGGAUUAGCUAGUUGGUGGGGUAAAGGCCUACCAAGGCGACGACCCGUAACUGGUCUGAGAGGAUGAUCAGUCACACUGGAACUGAGACACGGUCCAGACUCCUACGGGAGGCAGCAGUGGGGAAUAUUGGACAAUGGGCGAAAGCCUGAUCCAGCCAUGCCGCGUGUGUGAAGAAGGUCUUCGGAUUGUAAAGCACUUUAAGUUGGGAGGAAGGGCAGUAAGUUAAUACCUUGCUGUUUUGACGUUACCAACAGAAUAAGCACCGGCUAACUUCGUG